This is a long non-coding RNA of Gadus macrocephalus (Pacific cod), 1499 nucleotides long. RefSeq lists it as uncharacterized. The record is from RefSeq and is a predicted model, not a curated record. The transcript has 3 exons. Lineage: Eukaryota; Metazoa; Chordata; Actinopteri; Gadiformes; Gadidae.
UAGGAGUCCUAUUUAGAAAGUCUCAUGUUUCUGUCCUUCUCGCCCUCCGUAGCUGGUCACCUGAACCCGGCCGUGGCCUUUGCCCUCUGCCUCCUGGGGAGGGAGCCAUGGAGGAAGAUCCCGGUCUACUUCCUCUUCCAGACGUUGGGGGAGGCGGUGUAUUCACAGUUAAGGGCUACUGUUUCUUGGUGCCCUUGUUCGCCCCGUUCCUAGGGGCAGUGCAGGGGGUGGUGGUGUACCAGCUGAUAGUGGGCUACAACAUGGAAGGAGAGGAACGCAUCCAGAGAUUACGAGAGUAGGAGGGAUGGGGAGCAGAGAGAGAGAGGCGAUCGCUACCCGAGAUCGCCAGGAACGCACCCUGUUACCACUUGGAGUGGAGUAGAAUUUACGUUUAACGACCCGUGGUUUGCUGGACUGCCGGGCGAUCGCACCAGAGAUCGCCAGGAACGCACCCCGGGCCCGAGUUGGAGUGGAGUUAUAAUUUAUGUUCAAAGACUUGUGUUGUGUUGAACUGCUGGGGACUGAAAUAAACAGUCUGGAUUACAAACACAAACCCGGUGUCCAAGCGCUCAGUGACUCUUGUUACACCCACUCGAGGUAACGGCACACUGGAUUGCAAUUAAUAAAGAAAUGAAGAGUAGACGUGUGGAGGAGUGUUCUCCAGGUCUGAUGACUCGUUUUGAGGUCACAGCCCUUUCACCUUUUCUCUGUGCAUAGGUCAGUGUAUGAACGCAGCAUAUUUCAAUAAGCCGUCCUUACAAUCCUUCUCUUUACUUCCUGUUCUAUUCAACCAAACCUUAACAUUUUCCAACCUCAUUUGUUCGGCUUUGGCCGCUAGCCGGAUCCUUUAUGUCCACAUUUCCCUUUUACUUUUACCUCCUGAGAGGAACGGAUAAUAAAUCUAAGACAAUAUCGGAGCAGCUUACCCCAAAGCUACUUCUUUGAAAGUGCUACUGAAACCUACACAGGUAAGGUACUUAAGUUAGGUUUCUGCAUACACAUCGAGUUUGCUAUAAGCCCCCUUGAGAUGGGGAUGGGGGUCGUACUGUGACACUGCUCCAUACCAACUAGCGCUGGCUUUACCCAGGAGGGCUGGCGGGCGGUGAGGUCGGUCCGUGCUGAGGUCAGUCCGCGCUGAGGUGAGUCCGUUCCGAGGUGAGUGCGCCGAGGUCAGUCCGUAAUGAGACGAUGUGGCUCCACAGGGCCCUUCUAUUUCAUUCAACUAAUUAAUGGACAGACCGAUGUCAAACUCGUCUCCCUCCCAUCAACGUCUUCUUACAGAGGUUGACCACAUUUGCACAGUCGGCUAGAAAACCCCAGAAGCAUGCUGAAAUAUUAUGGUAUGAAUGUAAUAUUUCCAUCUGCUGGAAUGUAAAUCAACGUGCUUUAUCUAAAUGAUUGCCACGCCCUAGCUCUUCCUAUUAACUGCAGAUUCAGGUGACAUAGGUACAACUACAUAAAACAUUUAAAUAUAAAGAUGACGAAAAACACAUUGACAC